RNAcentral lists this ribosomal RNA (1383 nucleotides) under uncultured bacterium. RNAcentral's name for it is "bacterial SSU rRNA". It matches the Rfam family "Bacterial small subunit ribosomal RNA", at positions 18 to 1395 of the family's 1533-position model. The record is from RNAcentral.
CCUGGCUCAGGAUGAACGCUAGCUACAGGCUUAACACAUGCAAGUCGAGGGGCAGCAUUUCAGUUUGCUUGCAAACUGGAGAUGGCGACCGGCGCACGGGUGAGUAACACGUAUCCAACCUGCCGAUAACUCGGGGAUAGCCUUUCGAAAGAAAGAUUAAUACCCGAUGGUAUAAUCAGACCGCAUGGUCUUGUUAUUAAAGAAUUUCGGUUAUCGAUGGGGAUGCGUUCCAUUAGGCAGUUGGUGAGGUAACGGCUCACCAAACCUUCGAUGGAUAGGGGUUCUGAGAGGAAGGUCCCCCACAUUGGAACUGAGACACGGUCCAAACUCCUACGGGAGGCAGCAGUGAGGAAUAUUGGUCAAUGGGCGCAGGCCUGAACCAGCCAAGUAGCGUGAAGGAUGACUGCCCUAUGGGUUGUAAACUUCUUUUAUAUGGGAAUAAAGUUUUCCGCGUGUGGAAUUUUGUAUGUACCAUAUGAAUAAGGAUCGGCUAACUCCGUGCCAGCAGCCGCGGUAAUACGGAGGAUCCGAGCGUUAUCCGGAUUUAUUGGGUUUAAAGGGAGCGUAGGUGGACAGUUAAGUCAGUUGUGAAAGUUUGCGGCUCAACCGUAAAAUUGCAGUUGAUACUGGCUGUCUUGAGUACAGUAGAGGUGGGCGGAAUUCGUGGUGUAGCGGUGAAAUGCUUAGAUAUCACGAAGAACUCCGAUUGCGAAGGCAGCUCACUGGACUGCAACUGACACUGAUGCUCGAAAGUGUGGGUAUCAAACAGGAUUAGAUACCCUGGUAGUCCACACAGUAAACGAUGAAUACUCGCUGUUUGCGAUAUACAGUAAGCGGCCAAGCGAAAGCAUUAAGUAUUCCACCUGGGGAGUACGCCGGCAACGGUGAAACUCAAAGGAAUUGACGGGGGCCCGCACAAGCGGAGGAACAUGUGGUUUAAUUCGAUGAUACGCGAGGAACCUUACCCGGGCUUAAAUUGCAUUUGAAUAUAUUGGAAACAGUAUAGCCGUAAGGCAAAUGUGAAGGUGCUGCAUGGUUGUCGUCAGCUCGUGCCGUGAGGUGUCGGCUUAAGUGCCAUAACGAGCGCAACCCUUAUCUUUAGUUACUAACAGGUCAUGCUGAGGACUCUAGAGAGACUGCCGUCGUAAGAUGUGAGGAAGGUGGGGAUGACGUCAAAUCAGCACGGCCCUUACGUCCGGGGCUACACACGUGUUACAAUGGGGGGUACAGAAGGCAGCUACCUGGUGACAGGAUGCUAAUCCCAAAAGCCUCUCUCAGUUCGGAUCGAAGUCUGCAACCCGACUUCGUGAAGCUGGAUUCGCUAGUAAUCGCGCAUCAGCCAUGGCGCGGUGAAUACGUUCCCGGGCCUUGUACACACCGCCC